ACUCGCUUGGUGAAAUUUGGUAAACACGAUGGAUUUAAAAUUCAUUCUCAGAGAGAGUUACUGGUUCAAGUCCAGUAGCGAGUA
RNAcentral lists this transfer RNA (84 nucleotides) under Gracilaria firma. RNAcentral describes it as "tRNA-Leu". It matches the Rfam family "tRNA". Rfam says of the family: Transfer RNA (tRNA) molecules are approximately 80 nucleotides in length. The record is from RNAcentral. Lineage: Eukaryota; Rhodophyta; Florideophyceae; Gracilariales; Gracilariaceae.